CCUACGGGAGGCAGCAGUGAGGAAUAUUGGUCAAUGGGCGGAAGCCUGAACCAGCCAAGUCGCGUGAGGGAUUAAGGCCCUGCGGGUCGUAAACCUCUUUUGCCGGGGAGCAGUGGUCCGGACGCGUCCGGACCGGGAGAGUACCCGGAGAAAAAGCAUCGGCUAACUCCGUGCCAGCAGCCGCGGUAAUACGGAGGAUGCGAGCGUUAUCCGGAAUUAUUGGGCGUAAAGGGUGCGUAGAUGGCAUAGUAAGUCUUUUGUAAAAAUGCUGGGCUCAACCCAGUAGGGCAAAAGAUACUGCAAAGCUAGAGUAUGACAGAGGCAAGUGGAACUACAUGUGUAGCGGUAAAAUGCGUAAAUAUAUGUAAGAACACCAGUGGCGAAGGCGGCUUGCUGGGUCGAUACUGACAUUGAGGCACGAAAGCGUGGGGAGCAAACAGGAUUAGAUACCCCAGUAGUC
RNAcentral lists this ribosomal RNA (460 nucleotides) under uncultured bacterium. Its description in RNAcentral is "partial 16S ribosomal RNA". It matches the Rfam family "Bacterial small subunit ribosomal RNA", at positions 338 to 795 of the family's 1533-position model. The record is from RNAcentral.